AAAAUAUUUUACUUUAAUGGUCCAGUAUGGGAAAUCUUAAAAUAGUUGAACUGGAUGUGUCUUCUCUUGACUCGCGCGGCGAUAAAUGUUGCAGUUCAUUUGUAUUCAUGGAUUCGUGCCCAGCGCUACAGAGCGCUCAUAUCAAAAUUGCUUGCGGUCCCAUUCUCACCCAUUAUUCAGUAAAAAAUGAAAACUUACAAAAUUUGGUUAUACAAUUUUAUAAAAAUGCCAAAUGGAAGGAACUACCCAUGUUAAUGUCGAAGUAUCCUAAUUUAAAGCAUUUGUCAUUACGGAAUAUCUGGUUAAGAAAGCAACACAUCAAGCAAUUGAUAUUGAUUUUGCCAAAAUUAACACUACUUGAUAUUCGUAAAUCUUUUGGAGUCUCUCAAAAAGCUGCUGAUUAUGUUCAGAAUUUUUGUGAACAGCAUGGCAGAUCGGUCAAGUUUUAUUUUAAAAAAGGCGACAAGCAAAUUGAAUAUGAUUGGCCGCAGAUAUUGAAUCGACCUGAAAAAAUCUGUCGCGGAUUUGAUUUCAUGGAACACUGUUUUUUCAAAAGUUUCAAUGAUUUGCCUCAUUUUUUGGAUCCAAUAGAUGAUUAGAAAUGCAAAUGAUAACAUAAUUGUCGAUCUUUUCUAUUUAUUUUUUGUUUCAGCUGUGAGGUUCACGUUAUUUAAAGAAAUGUUGCUAUCUUCAUAAAAUUCAUCAUCUUGGCUAACCUUUCAACCCGAUAUUUCGAGCACACAAAAAAGUUCUUGAAUCUUAUUGUUAUUGCAAAAACGCACUUCAAAUCUUACAAUUCCAAUAUAAAAUUUUAUUUGAUCUUAUUUAAAA
Non-coding RNA from Tetranychus urticae (two-spotted spider mite), 831 nucleotides. Lineage: Eukaryota; Metazoa; Arthropoda; Arachnida; Trombidiformes; Tetranychidae. The record is from RefSeq and is a predicted model, not a curated record.